GAUGAAGAACGCAGCGAAAUGCGAUAAGUAAUGUGAAUUGCAGAAUUCAGUGAAUCAUCGAAUCUUUGAACGCACAUUGCGCCCGCCAGUAUUCUGGCGGGCAUGCCUGUUCGAGCGUCAUUUCAACCAUCAAGCCCCCGGCUUGUGUUGGGGACCUGCGGCUGCCGCAGGCCCUGAAAAGCAGUGGCGGGCUCGCUGUCACACCGAGCGUAGUAGCAUACAUCUCGCUCUGGGCGUGCUGCGGGUUCCGGCCGUUAAACCACCUUCAUAACCCAAGGUUGACCUCGGAUCAGGUAGGAAGACCCGCUGAACUUAAGCAUAUCAAUAACGGAGGA
This 335-nucleotide unclassified non-coding RNA is filed under the name soil metagenome. Its description in RNAcentral is "partial contains 5.8S ribosomal RNA, internal transcribed spacer 2, and large subunit ribosomal RNA". The stretch from base 1 to 120 matches the Rfam family "5.8S ribosomal RNA", at positions 35 to 154 of the family's 154-position model. The record is from RNAcentral.